GGCCUUGCUCUUAUGUCAUCUGACUAAAGGUUUCAUAGACCAAAGAUAACCAUCCAACCUGUUGGAAUACUGAAACAAUUGCUGCCUGCUUUCCACACACUACAUAAAAUAUGUGGAUACCCUAAAUUCUACAAAAAAAGAUUUGUAAGCAAAUCAAGUAAUACUGGGACUCCCUCUUCUCCAGAAGAGACAUCCUGGCCUCCAUGCAGAGGAAUGUGUGGAUAGACAUAUAUUUAAGGAAGACACUAAACCAGAAAAUACUACAUUACACCCUCUUAAAAGACUUCUAAGAUUGUUGUCAUGCCUACCACUGACAUUCAGAUGAUGUGUAUUCUUGAUUGUGAUUUCAUGUUUGGAGCUGAUGAAGGAGUUUGAAGUCUCCAGAGCAGCAAGGAGAGUGGGGAGUAGAACUCAUCAUCUUUAGGUCACUCAUCCCCG
Molecule: long non-coding RNA, 438 nt
Filed under: Mus musculus (house mouse)
Lineage: Eukaryota; Metazoa; Chordata; Mammalia; Rodentia; Muridae
Description: predicted gene 28440
Source: RNAcentral